RNAcentral lists this transfer RNA (82 nucleotides) under Bacteroidota bacterium. RNAcentral's name for it is "Bacteroidetes bacterium (activated sludge metagenome) tRNA-Leu". It matches the Rfam family "tRNA". Rfam says of the family: Transfer RNA (tRNA) molecules are approximately 80 nucleotides in length. Their secondary structure includes four short double-helical elements and three loops (D, anti-codon, and T loops). Further hydrogen bonds mediate the characteristic L-shaped molecular structure. tRNAs have two regions of fundamental functional importance: the anti-codon, which is responsible for specific mRNA codon recognition, and the 3' end, to which the tRNAs corresponding amino acid is attached (by aminoacyl-tRNA synthetases). tRNAs cope with the degeneracy of the genetic code in two manners: having more than one tRNA (with a specific anti-codon) for a particular amino acid; and 'wobble' base-pairing, i.e. permitting non-standard base-pairing at the 3rd anti-codon position. Lineage: Bacteria; Pseudomonadati; Bacteroidota. The record is from RNAcentral. RNAcentral also lists the same sequence under 1 other name.
ACGGACGUGGCGGAACUGGUAGACGCGCUGGUCUUAGGAGCCAGUACCGUGAGGUGUGGGGGUUCGACUCCCCCCGUCCGUA